This 300-nucleotide ribosomal RNA is filed under the name uncultured Lactobacillus sp. Its description in RNAcentral is "bacterial SSU rRNA". It matches the Rfam family "Bacterial small subunit ribosomal RNA", at positions 496 to 795 of the family's 1533-position model. Lineage: Bacteria; Bacillati; Bacillota; Bacilli; Lactobacillales; Lactobacillaceae. The record is from RNAcentral.
UCUAAGUGGGGGUAAGAGGCGGCGGGAGUACGGAGGGUGCAAGCGUUAUCCGGAUUUAUUGGGGUUAAAGGGUCCGUAGGCGGACUUAUAAGUCAGUGGUGAAAGCCUGUCGCUUAACGAUAGAACUGCCAUUGAUACUGUAAGUCUUGAGUAUAAUUGAGGUAGCUGGAAUAAGUAGUGUAGCGGUGAAAUGCAUAGAUAUUACUUAGAACACCAAUUGCGAAGGCAGGUUACCAAGUUAUAACUGACGCUGAGGGACGAAAGCGUGGGGAGCGAACAGGAUUAGAUACCCCAGUAGUC